Molecule: long non-coding RNA, 2686 nt
Filed under: Canis lupus familiaris (dog)
Lineage: Eukaryota; Metazoa; Chordata; Mammalia; Carnivora; Canidae
Description: lncRNA (ENSCAFG00845030602.1)
Source: RNAcentral
UUUUAUUUUAUUUUAUUUUUUUUGGAGUUUACUGGAAACCAAACUUGGGAGGAAAUGACCGAUUCAUUGUUCCUGUGGCUUGUUUGGCAGAACUCUGAAGGCAGAGAGUCGUCUCCAUCUGACAGAAGGAUGGUUCCACUGGGUGUGAGAAAUCUUCUUCCUGUAAAAAGUGAGUCAUGAUAAGAAUAGAGUGCCAGACCUCCCUCAUACUCGUCAGUGUGGCAAGGAGAAUGUGACCAAAUCCCUGAUGAGUGCACUCUCCUUCCUGACAAGGAAGGGAUAAAGGAACCUGGCAGGAGAAAGAAAAAGUGCUGCUGGGGCAGCUGCCCCAAUCUGCUCUCUGUUAACAUUUCCCUUUGUCUUGAUUUCUAUGCUCAAAAUCUUCUCCUUGUGGCUUACUGUUGUUUCUAUAAAAAUGUCUUUUACUUGGCAACAUCCUAGCCAAGAAAAGGAAAAUAUCUAACAAGGAGAAACACAGCUUGUCUGUCAUCUCAGGGACUUAGGGCCAGAACAAUCCUUUGUUAUUGAGUUAUUAUGGGUUGAAUUGUGUCCCCUCAAAAUUCAUGUGAUAAAGUUCUAACUCCCAGGAUCUCAGCACGUGACCAAUUUGCAAAUAGGGUCAUUGCAGAUGCAAUUAGUCAAGAUGGGGUCAUGCACACAAAAAGAGCAGACUUGUGAUGAUAAAGCAGAGAUCAUGGCGAUGCAGCAGAAGCUAAGGAACCCCAAAGACUGCCAGCCAGCCACCAGAAGCUAGGAGAGAGGCAUGGAACAGCCUUCCAAAGGAGCGAACGCUGCCAACACUUCGAUCUCAGAUUCUGGCUUCUAGAACUAAGACUGUACAUUUCUGUUGUUUAAGCCACUCAGUCUUUGCUAUUUUUUGUUACAGUAGCCCUAGCAAAAUAAUACAUGAGUGAACAACUAACUACCCAUGUCAUGUCGUAGGCCAUUUCCACUCGUUUUCUUUUCCAUUCUCUGCCCCCAAGACUGUUCCAGAUGGGAACACUGAGGCUGAGCCAACAUGGUCAAAAGCCAGGCUCAAGCCCAGGUGUCCUGACCGUGUCUAUGCAUUUUCAUUUACACAAUGUUACUGCGUGUUGGUUACUGGCAAAUGUUGAUGGCAAGGCAAAGGCUGGAGCCGCAAUUCUAAAAGGUAGCUGCACCCCCACUGUGCCAUAGAACAGUUGCUGAAAGAAUUAGUUCUUAAUUGAUUCCUUAUAGAAUCAAUGAUAUUUUAAGUGUUUCCAGGAGUUCCGUAUUUAAAGGAGCCCUGUGGGAGACCCUUUUGUAUAGCAAAGGGUCCUUCUGGGCUGUGAAUGGUAACCUUGCCUCCCUCUAAAUUCCUUUGCUUUGCAAGCCUAAUUGGUUCUCAUCUGAGAGGUGUUUGAGUAAGCGGGCCUGCCUUCAGUUCUGCACCUCUGCCUUGGCUGGCAGGGGCUCAGUAAAUGCUUGCACUUGCCAUUGUGGUUGAUAGCAAUGAAGGACGCCCACCAGUAGCACUGCCUUUUAAAUACACGUGGUGUCUGGAAUGAUUUCCUCCCAUUUCAAGCCGUUUUCAGCAUCCUCAACUUAAAAAUCAUUGCUUGGGUAGAAAAGGGGAAAAACAUCAUUUUGCUAAAUGCCAACAUUUAGCUAUUAAUUACUCCCUAACUAUUAGUGAGCUUUGUGUUAAUUACUAUUCCAAAUUCCUAGGUGCUUGUAAAUUAGCAGAUGCUUCAUUCCCUUUCCUCAGUCUGUCUUUAGGCCGCCAGGGCAGAAAGAUUCCCCUCGGGAGAUGCAUAUGCCCCACCGGAGAGGGGAUGGCUGUGGCCAGGGGGGUUAGAAUCUUUCCACUUUCUUGACAAGCUCUAUUGGGAAUGCACGGUGCCAAUGUUUUAGAUAACUUUCAAGCUUCUUUCCUGCAAUAGCUCUUAUUAGUUGGUUAAUUCGCAAGCAUCAACUGAGUAUCUGCUAAGGGCCAGGCACUGUCCUUGGCCCUGAAGAUGCAGAGAUGAACAGAGGAACUCAGCCCUACCGCUCACUCCUCACCAUCAAAUGGGAAGCUACAUGUGUAAGUCAGUAACCACAGCAAUGUGGUAAGUGCUCUCUCAGAAGGCUGGAGAAGGCACUUUAGGAGCACAGAAAAGAAGUGCCACAGUGCUGGAAAUGGCAAAAACCAUUUCCCAAGGUUGGUGGCAUUCUCGCUAAAUCUUGAAGGAUGAGUAGGAGUGUGCCAAAUGCAUAAUGUGACAAAGGACAUUUCAAGAAGAGAAGAGUAGUACAUGUCAGAGGCAGCUACGAGCACCUGGUGUUUGAAGACGGGUGGGUGGCUAGACACAGGAGGUGAUGAGGGGGGAACAGGGAGUGAGUUUAAACCAGUUUUCAGGGGGUAAGAUCACAAGGGAGCUGGGACAUUAGUCUGCAAGUAAUAAGGAGCCGCUGAAGGUUUUAUCCUAGAAGGAAGGGUGACACCUUAAAUUUGGUGGCACGGAAGGUGGUCUGAAGAGUGAAGGGGCUAGAGGCAGGGAACUGGACGGACAAAUAUAGUGGAUGAAGAUCCAAGCUGAGGGAGCAGCAGUACAGAUGGAGAGAAGUGCAAUGAUUUAAGCAAUAGUAACAAGGUCAAAUUCUAAAAGUUUGUCACUGGGAGAUAGAGACAGGAAGAGUCUGGGAUGACGACAUGUCUCUGGCUUGUGAUUCCAGCUACUCU